RNAcentral lists this ribosomal RNA (484 nucleotides) under uncultured bacterium. Its description in RNAcentral is "partial 16S ribosomal RNA". It matches the Rfam family "Bacterial small subunit ribosomal RNA", at positions 30 to 507 of the family's 1533-position model. The record is from RNAcentral.
AUUGAACGCUGGCGGCAGGCCUAACACAUGCAAGUCGAGCGGAUGAAGGGAGCUUGCUCCUGGAUUCAGCGGCGGACGGGUGAGUAAUGCCUAGGAAUCUGCCUGGUAGUGGGGGAUAACGUCCGGAAACGGGCGCUAAUACCGCAUACGUCCUGAGGGAGAAAGUGGGGGAUCUUCGGACCUCACGCUAUCAGAUGAGCCUAGUUCGGAUUAGCUAGUUGGUGGGGUAAAGGCCUACCAAGGCGACGAUCCGUAACUGGUCUGAGAGGAUGAUCAGUCACACUGGAACUGAGACACGGUCCAGACUCCUACGGGAGGCAGCAGUGGGGAAUAUUGGACAAAGGGCGAAAGCCUGAUCCAGCAAUGCCGCGUGUGUGAAGAAGGUCUUCGGAUUGUAAAGCACUUUAAGUUGGGGGGAAGGGCAGUAAGUUAAUACCUUGCUGUUUUGACGGUACCAACAGAAUAAGCACCGGCUAACUUCGUG